AUUGAACGCUGGCGGCAUGCCUUACACAUGCAAAUCGAACGGUAACGGGCCUUCGGGUGCCGACGAGUGGCGAACGGGUGAGUAAUACAUCGGAACGUGCCCGAUCGUGGGGGAUAACGAGGCGAAAGCUUUGCUAAUACCGCAUACGAUCCACGGAUGAAGGCAGGGGACCGCAAGGCCUUGCGCGGACGGAGCGGCCGAUGGCAGAUUAGGUAGUUGGUGGGAUAAAAGCUUACCAAGCCGACGAUCUGUAGCUGGUCUGAGAGGAUGAUCAGCCACACUGGGACUGAGACACGGCCCAGACUCCUACGGGAGGCAGCAGUGGGGAAUUUUGGACAAUGGGCGCAAGCCUGAUCCAGCCAUGCCGCGUGCAGGAUGAAGGCCUUCGGGUUGUAAACUGAUUUUGUACGGAACGAAAAGCCUUCUUUUAAUACAGGAGGGUCAUGACGGUACCGUAAGAAUAAGCACCGGCUAACUACGUG
This 482-nucleotide ribosomal RNA is filed under the name uncultured bacterium. RNAcentral describes it as "partial 16S ribosomal RNA". It matches the Rfam family "Bacterial small subunit ribosomal RNA", at positions 30 to 507 of the family's 1533-position model. The record is from RNAcentral.